AUUGAACGCUGGCGGUAUGCUUAAGACAUGCAAGUCGAACGGUAACAGGUUAAGCUGACGAGUGGCGGACGAGUGAGUAACGCGUGGGAAUCUACCUUGUAGUGGGGGAUAAGCCAGGGAAACUUGGACUAAUACCGCAUACGCCCUAAGGGGGAAAGGCGCAAGUCGCUAUAAGAUGAGCCCGCGUCUGAUUAGGUAGUUGGUGGGGUAAAGGCCUACCAAGCCGACGAUCAGUAGCUGGUCUGAGAGGAUGACCAGCCACGUCGGGACUGAGACACGGCCCGGACUCCUACGGGAGGCAGCAGUCGGGAAUAUUGGACAAUGGGGGAAACCCUGAUCCAGCAAUACCGCGUGUGUGAAGAAGGCCUGCGGGUUGUAAAGCACUUUCAGUUGGGAAGAUAAUGACGUUACCAACAGAAGAAGCACCGGCUAACUCCGUG
RNAcentral lists this ribosomal RNA (440 nucleotides) under uncultured bacterium. RNAcentral describes it as "bacterial SSU rRNA". It matches the Rfam family "Bacterial small subunit ribosomal RNA", at positions 30 to 507 of the family's 1533-position model. The record is from RNAcentral.